CCUACGGGAGGCAGCAGUGAGGAAUAUUGGUCAAUGGGCGGGAGCCUGAACCAGCCAUGCCGCGUGAAGGCGAGUGCCCUACGGGCGUUAAACUACUUUUGUGCGGGAGCAAUAAGGGCCACGCGUUGCCCGAUGAGAGUACCGCACGCCUAAGCAUCGGCUAACUCCGUGCCAGCAGCCGCGGUAAUACGGGGGAUGCGAGCGUUAGCCGGAUUUAUUGGUUUUAAAGGUUGCGUAGGCGGCGCGUCAGGUUCGCGGUGAAAUACCGGGGCUCAACCCCGGAGCUGCCGUUGAAACCGGAGCGCUAGAGUUCCGAUGCGGUCGGAAGAAUGUGAGGUGUAGCGGUGAAAUGCAUAGAGAUCACACAGAACACCGAUUGCGAAGGCAUCUGACGAAUCGAAGAUUGACGCUGAGGCACGAAAGCGUGGGGAUCGAACAGGAUUAGAUACCCGUGUAGUC
Molecule: ribosomal RNA, 459 nt
Filed under: uncultured bacterium
Lineage: Bacteria
Description: partial 16S ribosomal RNA
Rfam family: Bacterial small subunit ribosomal RNA
Source: RNAcentral